Molecule: ribosomal RNA, 461 nt
Filed under: uncultured bacterium
Lineage: Bacteria
Description: bacterial SSU rRNA
Rfam family: Bacterial small subunit ribosomal RNA
Source: RNAcentral
GAUGAACGCUAGCGGCAGGCUUAAUACAUGCAAGUCGAGGGGCAACAGGGGUAGCAAUACCUGCUGGCGACCGGCAAACGGGUGCGGAACACGUACACAACCUUCCUUUAAGUGGGGGAUAGCCCAGAGAAAUUUGGAUUAAUACCCCAUAAGAUCACCAGGUGGCAUCAUUUGGUAAUUAAAGCUCCGGCGCUUAGAGAUGGGUGUGCGGCUGAUUAGGUAGUUGGUGAGGGUAACGGCCCACCAAGCCUGCGAUCAGUAACUGGUGUGAGAGCACGACCAGUCACACGGGCACUGAGACACGGACCAGACUCCUACGGGAGGCAGCAGUAGGAAUAUGGUCAAUGGGCGCAAGCCUGAACCAGCCAUGCCGCGUGCAGGAAGACGGCCCUACGGGUUGUAAACUGCUUUUAUACCGAAUAAACCUUGAUUCGUGAAUCGAGCUGAAUGUACGGUAAGAA